GAUGAACGCUGGCGGCGUGCCUAAUACAUGCAAGUCGAGCGAACAGACGAGGAGCUUGCUCCUCUGACGUUAGCGGCGGACGGGUGAGUAACACGUGGAUAACCUACCUAUAAGACUGGGAUAACUUCGGGAAACCGGAGCUAAUACCGGAUAAUAUAUUGAACCGCAUGGUUCAAUAGUGAAAGACGGUUUUGCUGUCACUUAUAGAUGGAUCCGCGCCGCAUUAGCUAGUUGGUAAGGUAACGGCUUACCAAGGCUACGAUGCGUAGCCGACGUGAGAGAGUGGUCGGCCACACUGGAGCGGGAACGCGGUCCAGACUCCUACGGGAGGCAGCAGUAGGGAAUCUUCCGCAAUGGGCGAAAGCUUGACGGAGCAACGCCGCGUGAGUGAUGAAGGUCUUCGGAUCGUAAAACUCUGUUAUUAGGGAAGAACAAAUGUGUAAGUAACUAUGCACGUCUUGACGGUACCUAAUCAGAAAGCCACGGCUAACUACGUG
Molecule: ribosomal RNA, 497 nt
Filed under: uncultured bacterium
Lineage: Bacteria
Description: partial 16S ribosomal RNA
Rfam family: Bacterial small subunit ribosomal RNA
Source: RNAcentral